RNAcentral lists this ribosomal RNA (253 nucleotides) under uncultured bacterium. RNAcentral describes it as "partial 16S ribosomal RNA". It matches the Rfam family "Bacterial small subunit ribosomal RNA", at positions 524 to 776 of the family's 1533-position model. The record is from RNAcentral.
UACGGAGGGGGCUAGCGUUGUUCGGAAUUACUGGGCGUAAAGCGCGCGUAGGCGGACCUGCAAGUCGGGGGUGAAAGCCCGAGGCUCAACCUCGGAACUGCCUUCGAUACUGCGGGUCUCGAGUCCGGGAGAGGUGAGUGGAAUUCCUAGUGUAGAGGUGAAAUUCGUAGAUAUUAGGAAGAACACCAGUGGCGAAGGCGGCUCACUGGCCCGGUACUGACGUUGAGGCGCGAAAGCGUGGGGAGCAAACAGG